This 253-nucleotide ribosomal RNA is filed under the name uncultured bacterium. Its description in RNAcentral is "partial 16S ribosomal RNA". It matches the Rfam family "Bacterial small subunit ribosomal RNA", at positions 524 to 776 of the family's 1533-position model. The record is from RNAcentral.
UACGGAGGGUGCGAGCGUUGUCCGGAAUCACUGGGCGUAAAGGGCGCGUAGGCGGCCUGAUAAGUAGGGGGUGAAAUCCUGCGGCUUAACCGCAGGGCUGCCUUCUAAACUGUCAGGCUGGAGCACAGUAGAGGCAGGUGGAAUUCCCGGUGUAGCGGUGGAAUGCGUAGAGAUCGGGAAGAACAUCAGUGGCGAAGGCGGCCUGCUGGGCUGUUGCUGACGCUGAGGCGCGACAGCGCGGGGAGCAAAUAGG